This 567-nucleotide ribosomal RNA is filed under the name uncultured bacterium. RNAcentral describes it as "bacterial SSU rRNA". It matches the Rfam family "Bacterial small subunit ribosomal RNA", at positions 338 to 916 of the family's 1533-position model. The record is from RNAcentral.
CCUACGGGAGGCAGCAGUGGGGAAUAUUGCACAAUGGGCGAAAGCCUGAUGCAGCGACGCCGCGUGAGGGAUGACGGCCUUCGGGUUGUAAACCUCUUUCAGCAGGGAAGAAGCGCAAGUGACGGUACCUGCAGAAGAAGCACCGGCUAACUACGUGCCAGCAGCCGCGGUAAUACGUAGGGUGCGAGCGUUGUCCGGAAUUAUUGGGCGUAAAGAGCUCGUAGGCGGUCUGUCACGUCGGAUGUGAAAGCCCGGGGCUUAACCCCGGGUCUGCAUUCGAUACGGGCAGACUAGAGUGUGGUAGGGGAGAUCGGAAUUCCUGGCGUAGCGGUGAAAUGCGCAGAUAUCAGGAGGAACACCGGUGGCGAAGGCGGAUCUCUGGGCCAUUACUGACGCUGAGGAGCGAAAGCGUGGGGAGCGAACAGGAUUAGAUACCCUGGUAGUCCACGCCGUAAACGUUGGGAACUAGGUGUUGGCGACAUUCCACGUCGUCGGUGCCGCAGCUAACGCAUUAAGUUCCCGCCUGGGGAGUACGGCCGCAAGGCUAAAACUUAAAUGAAUUGACGG